This 253-nucleotide ribosomal RNA is filed under the name uncultured bacterium. RNAcentral describes it as "partial 16S ribosomal RNA". It matches the Rfam family "Bacterial small subunit ribosomal RNA", at positions 524 to 776 of the family's 1533-position model. The record is from RNAcentral.
UACAGAGGGUGCGAGCGUUGUCCGGAAUCACUGGGCGUAAAGGGCGCGUAGGUGGCCUGGUAAGUAGGGGGUGAAAUCUCGGGGCUUAACCCCGAAACUGCACUUGAUACUGCGGUGCUCGAGUACUGGAGAGGAGACUGGAAUUUACGGUGUAGCAGUGAAAUGCGUAGAGAUCGUAAGGAACACCGGUGGCGAAGGCGCUCAUCUGGCCCAAUACUGACGCUAAAGCGCGAAAGCUAGGGGAGCAAACGGG